GCCUGCUGGCCGCGGUAUUUUGACCGUGCGAAGGUAGCAUAAUCAUUAGUCUUUUAAUUGGAGGCUGGUAUGAAUGGCUGGACGAGAAAAUUUCUGUCUUUGAAUUUUAUUUUUAAGUGAAAAAGCUUAAAUUUGUUUGAGGGACGAUAAGACCCUAUGGAUCUUUUGGGUUGGGGCGACCUAAAAUGACCCUGAAUUUUGGUUUAAAAGACUAAGUUACCCUAGGGAUAACAGCGUAAUCUUUUUGGAGAGUUCAUAUCGAUAAAAAGGUUUGCGACCUCGAUGUUGGAUUAAGAGAUCCUUGCGGCGCAGCCGUUGUAAAGGAGAGUCUGUUCGACUUUUAAAUUCUU
RNAcentral lists this ribosomal RNA (350 nucleotides) under Triops sp. 1 JRdW-2005. Its description in RNAcentral is "partial 16S ribosomal RNA". It matches the Rfam family "Bacterial large subunit ribosomal RNA", at positions 1922 to 2597 of the family's 2925-position model. The record is from RNAcentral. Lineage: Eukaryota; Metazoa; Arthropoda; Branchiopoda; Notostraca; Triopsidae.